RNAcentral lists this ribosomal RNA (786 nucleotides) under Romagnesiella clavus. RNAcentral describes it as "partial large subunit ribosomal RNA". It matches the Rfam family "Eukaryotic large subunit ribosomal RNA", at positions 78 to 850 of the family's 3401-position model. The record is from RNAcentral. Lineage: Eukaryota; Fungi; Basidiomycota; Agaricomycetes; Agaricales; Crassisporiaceae.
CCCUAGUAACUGCGAGUGAAGCGGGAAAAGCUCAAAUUUAAAAUCUGGCGGUCUCYGGCYGUCCGAGUUGUAAUCUAGAGAAGUGUUAUCCGCGCUGGACCGUGUACAAGUCUCCUGGAAUGGAGCGUCAUAGAGGGUGAGAAUCCCGUCUUUGACACGGACUACCAGGGCUUUGUGAUGCGCUCUCAAAGAGUCGAGUUGUUUGGGAAUGCAGCUCAAAAUGGGUGGUAAAUUCCAUCUAAAGCUAAAUAUUGGCGAGAGACCGAUAGCGAACAAGUACCGUGAGGGAAAGAUGAAAAGAACUUUGGAAAGAGAGUUAAACAGUACGUGAAAUUGCUGAAAGGGAAACGCUUGAAGUCAGUCGCGUUGGCCGGGGAUCAACCUUGCUUUUGCUGGGCGCACUUUCCGGUYGACGGGUCAGCAUCAAUUUUGACCGGUGGAUAAAGUCUAGGGGAAUGUGGCAUCUUCGGAUGUGUUAUAGCCUUUGGUCGCAUACAUCGGUUGGGAUUGAGGAACUCAGCACGCCGCARGGCCGGGUUUUUAACCACGUACGUGCUUAGGAUGCUGGCAUAAUGGCUUUAAUCGACCCGUCUUGAAACACGGACCAAGGAGUCUAACAUGCCUGCGAGUGUUUGGGUGGAAAACCCGAGCGCGUAAUGAAAGUGAAAGUUGAGAUCCCUGUCGUGGGGAGCAUCGACGCCCGGACCAGACCUUUUGUGACGGUUCCGCGGUAGAGCAUGUAUGUUGGGACCCGAAAGAUGGUGAACUAUGCCUGAAUAGGGUGAA